UACGGAAGGUCCAGGCGUUAUCCGGAUUUAUUGGGUUUAAAGGGAGCGUAGGCCGGAGAUUAAGCGUGUUGUGAAAUGUAGAUGCUCAACCUCUGAACUGCAGCGCGAACUGGUUUCCUUGAGUACGCACAAAGUGGGCGGAAUUCGUGGUGUAGCGGUGAAAUGCUUAGAUAUCACGAAGAACUCCGAUUGCGAAGGCAGCUCACUGGAGCGCAACUGACGCUGAAGCUCGAAAGUGCGGGUAUCGAACAGG
Molecule: ribosomal RNA, 253 nt
Filed under: Segatella copri DSM 18205
Lineage: Bacteria; Pseudomonadati; Bacteroidota; Bacteroidia; Bacteroidales; Prevotellaceae
Description: Prevotella copri DSM 18205 partial 16S ribosomal RNA
Rfam family: Bacterial small subunit ribosomal RNA
Source: RNAcentral